UGGUUCAGAAGCAAAUGGCCUUCAUGCUGGGCCGCCACGGGGUCUUUCUGGAGCUAAGUGAGGAUGUCGAAGAAUAUGAGGAUCUUACAGAGAUCAUGUCUAAUGUCCAGCUCAACAGUAAUUUUCUGGCCUUGGCCAGGGAACUGGACAUCAUGGAGCCCAAGGUGCCAGAUGACAUUUACAAAACGCAU
Molecule: non-coding RNA, 191 nt
Organism: Thamnophis sirtalis
Lineage: Eukaryota; Metazoa; Chordata; Lepidosauria; Squamata; Natricidae
Source: RefSeq, a predicted model, not a curated record